AAACGACUGCUAAUACCGCAUGACAUAUCCGAAGGGCAUCCUUUGGAUAUCAAAGCUUUAUGUGCUGGAAGAUGGCCUCGCGUCUGAUUAGAUAGUUGGUGGGGUAACGGCCUACCAAGUCGACGAUCAGUAGCCGGUCUGAGAGGAUGAACGGCCACAUUGGGACUGAGAUACGGCCCAGACUCCUACGGGAGGCAGCAGUGGGGAAUAUUGGGCAAUGGGGGAAACCCUGACCCAGCAACGCCGCGUGAAGGAAGAAGGCCUUCGGGUUGUAAACUUCUUUACCAGGGACGAAGGACGUGACGGUACCUGCAGAAAAAGCAACGGCUAACUACGUG
RNAcentral lists this ribosomal RNA (338 nucleotides) under uncultured bacterium. RNAcentral describes it as "bacterial SSU rRNA". It matches the Rfam family "Bacterial small subunit ribosomal RNA", at positions 154 to 507 of the family's 1533-position model. The record is from RNAcentral.